CAGAGGUCCCAAGCGUUGUUCGGAUUCACUGGGCGUAAAGGGUGCGUAGGCGGUCGGGUAAGUCUGAUGUGAAAUCUCAGAGCUCAACUCUGAAACUGCAUUGGAUACUAUUCGGCUUGAGGUCUGGAGGGGGGACUGGAAUUCUCGGUGUAGCAGUGAAAUGCGUAGAUAUCGAGAGGAACACCAGUGGCGAAGGCGAGUCCCUGGACAGGUCCUGACGCUGAGGCACGAAAGCUAGGGGAGCAAACAGGAUUAGGUACCCUGGUAGUCCUAGCCGUAAACGGUGCGUAUUUGCUGUAAAAGGAAUCGACCCCUUUUGUGGCGUAGCAAACGCGUUAAAUACGCCGCCUGGGAAGUACGGUCGCAAGAUUA
RNAcentral lists this ribosomal RNA (372 nucleotides) under uncultured organism. RNAcentral describes it as "bacterial SSU rRNA". It matches the Rfam family "Bacterial small subunit ribosomal RNA", at positions 526 to 896 of the family's 1533-position model. The record is from RNAcentral.